CUUUAUGGCAGCUGUCGUGGGGCACUUCGGUGCGCCGAGUUCCGAUAUCCUCGGUCUGUCAACCCGCGUACAGCUGCCACCCAU
Molecule: non-coding RNA, 84 nt
Filed under: Pseudomonas guariconensis
Lineage: Bacteria; Pseudomonadati; Pseudomonadota; Gammaproteobacteria; Pseudomonadales; Pseudomonadaceae
Source: RNAcentral